GAUGAACGCUGGCGGCGUGCCUAACACAUGCAAGUCGAGCGAAGCGCCUUACUUGAUUUCUUCGGGAUGAAAGUAUUGUGACUGAGCGGGCGACGGGUGAAGGUACGCGUGGUAACCGUGCCUCAUACAGGGGGAUAACAGUUAGAAAUGACUGCUAAAUACCGCAUAAGACCACAGCACCGCAUGGUGCAGGGGGUAAAAAACUCCGGUGGUAUGAGAUGGAUCCGCGUCUGAUUAGCUAGUUGGUAAGGUAACGGCUUACCAAGGCAACGAUCAGUAGCCGACCUGAGAGGGUGACCGGCCACAUUUGGGACUGAGACACGGCCCAAA
This 330-nucleotide ribosomal RNA is filed under the name uncultured bacterium. RNAcentral's name for it is "bacterial SSU rRNA". It matches the Rfam family "Bacterial small subunit ribosomal RNA", at positions 28 to 335 of the family's 1533-position model. The record is from RNAcentral.